RNAcentral lists this long non-coding RNA (288 nucleotides) under Linum usitatissimum (flax). RNAcentral's name for it is "long non-coding RNA (LUSI_LNC000840)". The record is from RNAcentral. Lineage: Eukaryota; Viridiplantae; Streptophyta; Magnoliopsida; Malpighiales; Linaceae.
CAGAGCAGGAGGCAAAUUAGUAACACAAGUCCCUCCUCCGCCGCCGACAUCGUAAGCCAUCGCCGACAUGGUUGUCUGAAAUUCUGUGUUUUUCUCUGCUAAAAUUUCGGUUUGAAAAAAAAGAACAGCUGCGUUUGCUUGUGAUUUCUGUUUGCCCUCUGAAAAACGUUCGAUCUUGGGUGUUGGUGUUCCCCUCAAGCUGCCUAGUAAGCAAGCUCAGGCAAAACAAACCAACCGCCGGUGAAAAGAAAAAUCGGAUCCUGAGUCUUCAAACCGAGAGAAGUGAAA